CAGAAGUUUAGUUCCGCUUUUGCUCACGUAGAAGUUCCGCUAAAUAAUCAGGAUCCUGGAAUUUAUAUGGACUAUUUACCGUUUCUGCGCUCACGUGAAAGAGAAAACGUAGGGAGGUCAUCUUUGCUAGCACAGCAUUUCCAGAGAAUGAAAUAAUCAUAGGAAGCAGGAGAUAAUUCUAUUUUUGAAAAUCCUUUUUGAAGAAAGGCUUACUCCUAUCUGCUGUGUAACGUGGUUAUCAUAUCAAGACGCAUGAAACUCGUAUAUCAAGUGGAAGUAAUACACAGAAACUGCAAAAGAAGAUCCAGCCGACUUCAACAAGCUGCUACUAAAUUUGAGAAGAAAGAAAAUGUAGAGAUCUACAUGAACCCGAAAUUUUGGUAACCACAUAUAUUUAUACAAAGUGAAUAUAGUACUGACACAACCAAUGUACUGUUCAACAUCUGAAAGUACCACAUAUGAUUUAUAUUAUCCACAUAUAUUUUAUGUUUCUCAAAUAUCACCUUCCUUUGAAAACUAUUGUUAUAAUCUCUCAAAAUAAA
This is a long non-coding RNA of Stegodyphus dumicola, 542 nucleotides long. RefSeq lists it as uncharacterized. The record is from RefSeq and is a predicted model, not a curated record. NCBI's taxonomy places the organism in Eukaryota, Metazoa, Arthropoda, Arachnida, Araneae, Eresidae.